CGGGGCGUGGCCCAGCGGUAGGGCGCCUGGUUUGGGACCAGGAGGUCGCCAGUUCGAUCCUGGCCGCCCCGACCA
RNAcentral lists this transfer RNA (75 nucleotides) under Chloroflexota bacterium. RNAcentral's name for it is "tRNA-Pro". It matches the Rfam family "tRNA". Rfam says of the family: Transfer RNA (tRNA) molecules are approximately 80 nucleotides in length. Lineage: Bacteria; Bacillati; Chloroflexota. RNAcentral also lists the same sequence under 2 other names. The record is from RNAcentral.